GACGAACGCUGGCGGCGUGCUUAACACAUGCAAGUCGAACGGACAGGCCCUGCUUUUGCGGGGUGCUCGAGUGGCGCACGGGUGAGUAACACGUGUGUAACCUGCCCUUGACUUUGGGAUAUCUUCAGGAAACUCGGGCUCAUACCGGAUAGGAGCUCCUGCUGCAUGGUGGGGGUUGGAAAGUUUCGGCGGUUGGGGAUGGACUCGCGGGUUAUCAGCUUGUUGGUGGGGUAGUGGCUUACCAAGGCUUUGACGGGUAGCCCGCCUGAGAGGGGGACCGGCCACCAUGGGACUGAGGUACGGCCCAGUAGCCAACGGGAGGCAAUGGGGGGGAAUAUUGCACAAUGGGGCGGAGCCUGAGGCGGCGACGCCGGGAGCGGGAAGACGGGCUUCGGGGGGUGAACCGCUUUCGCCGGAGACGAAGCGGGAGUGACGGUAAUGGGUAAGAAAGCAACGGCUAACUACGUG
RNAcentral lists this ribosomal RNA (468 nucleotides) under uncultured bacterium. Its description in RNAcentral is "partial 16S ribosomal RNA". It matches the Rfam family "Bacterial small subunit ribosomal RNA", at positions 28 to 507 of the family's 1533-position model. The record is from RNAcentral.